This is a non-coding RNA of Sclerotinia borealis F-4128, 76 nucleotides long. The record is from the annotation of a GenBank genome assembly. NCBI's taxonomy places the organism in Eukaryota, Fungi, Ascomycota, Leotiomycetes, Helotiales, Sclerotiniaceae.
GGGCGUCUAGUGUAGUUGGUAAACACGCUGUGUGACUUUCAUUCCAGAGAGGCGGGAUCGAAACCCGCGGCGUCCA